GUCGAAGGAGAAGGCGAGAGCUUGCUCUUGCUGGAGACUGGCGCACGGGUGAGUAACGCGUAGGCAAUCUACCUAUUGCAGGGGGAUAACAGCUCGAAAGGGCUGCUAAUACCGCAUAAUGCAGCGGAUCCGCAUGGAUAUGUUGUUAAAGAUUUAUCGGCAAUAGAUGAGCCUGCGUGCCAUUAGCUAGUUGGUAAGGUGACGGCUUACCAAGGCAGUGAUGGCUAGCUGGUCUGAGAGGAUGAUCAGCCACACGGGGACUGAGACACGGCCCCGACUCCUACGGGAGGCAGCAGUGAGGAAUUUUGCGCAAUGGACGAAAGUCUGACGCAGCCACGCCGCGUGCUGGAAGAAGGCGCUACGCGUUGUAAACAGCUUUUGUUAGGGAAGAACGGCUGGGAUUUGUCCUGGUGUGACGGUACCUAAUGAAUAAGCACCGGCUAACUCCGUGCCAGCAGCCGCGGUAAUACGGAGGGUGCAAGCGUUGUCCGGAAUCAUUGGGUGUAAAGGGUGCGUAGGCGGGCUUUUAAGUCUGGGGUGAAAUCCCACCGCUCAACGGUGGAACUGCCUUGGAUACUGGAAGUCUUGAGUACAACAGAGGUCGGUGGAA
This 610-nucleotide ribosomal RNA is filed under the name Gracilimonas halophila. Its description in RNAcentral is "bacterial SSU rRNA". It matches the Rfam family "Bacterial small subunit ribosomal RNA", at positions 61 to 666 of the family's 1533-position model. The record is from RNAcentral. Lineage: Bacteria; Pseudomonadati; Balneolota; Balneolia; Balneolales; Balneolaceae.